UCCUGGCUCAGAUUGAACGCUGGCGGCAUGCCUUACACAUGCAAGUCGAACGGCAGCGCGGGCAACCUGGCGGCGAGUGGCGAACGGGUGAGUAAUAUAUCGGAACAUACCCUAGAGUGGGGGAUAACGUAGCGAAAGUUACGCUAAUACCGCAUACGCACUAAGGUGGAAAGUGGGGGAUUCGCAAGAACCUCAUGCUCAUGGAGUGGCCGAUAUCUGAUUAGCUAGUUGGUGAGGUAAAGGCUCACCAAGGCGACGAUCAGUAGCUGGUUUGAGAGAACGACCAGCCACACUGGAACUGAGACACGGUCCAGACUCCUACGGGAGGCAGCAGUGGGGAAUUUUGGACAAUGGGGGCAACCCUGAUCCAGCAAUGCCGCGUGAGUGAAGAAGGCCUUCGGGUUGUAAAGCUCUUUUGUCAGGGAAGAAACGGUGAGUUCUAAUAAAGCUUGCUAAUGACGGUACCUGAAGAAUAAGCACCGGCUAACUACGUG
This 494-nucleotide ribosomal RNA is filed under the name uncultured bacterium. Its description in RNAcentral is "bacterial SSU rRNA". It matches the Rfam family "Bacterial small subunit ribosomal RNA", at positions 17 to 507 of the family's 1533-position model. The record is from RNAcentral.